CAAAAUUAUGAUAACUGUUAAGCAAUUCUAAGUGCAUAUAUGAUGACUAGACAGGAAUGAGGCCUUUUCCAGAAAGGCAGAGGUGUAGUUUAAAGCAAUUGUUGGCUCAAAGGAGGGGAAAUCUUUUUUCUCCAUGGGGUUGCUUCAUAAAUUAUAAUUGAUUUUAUAAUAAUUUAUUAUUAAUAGUAUGUCCAGCAUUCUUAAUAGUAAGUUAAUUCAGCUUUCUUAAUCUUAAGUGAAUUUACAGAUACUUGACACUUUGAAAAUUCUAUUCUAUGGGGGUAUUUUGUUAGUAAUGGUGGGUGUGGAGGAAACUACUACAAAACAUUAGUCUGUAUGUACCUCUGCCCAUGAAUUGCCACAUGUUAUAGUGAACCUACUCUGCAUUGUGAGGCAGAACCCAAAAUUGCAACCACCUUAAGGCUAAAUAACACAAUUGAAAACUUUGUGUAAUGCAAACAGGGUAUUUAAGGUUUACCUAAUCUUUGGACACCAGCUGCAGCAGUUGAUGUAAACUAUAUAAAAAUGAAUGUUCUAAUUAAAGAAUAAGAAUUUUGAACUUAAAAAAGGAGUUUUUACCUUUUAGAGAAUCUAGUUUUGAGAAAAAAAAUGGAUACUAAGAUAUCCAGAAGCAUAUAUAGUCAUGAGUAUGUUCAUGGGUUUAUUGGACACCUGGGUGCAUAUCAGCAAGUUUGGUUCACCAUCCACUACUUUGAAAGUCAAGAGCCAGGAGCCAAGCAAGCAGAACACCAGAUUCAUACCAGAUCAGAGAGGAGUUGAGCAUCGUCAGUUUGUGUUUCAUUGACUAUCCAUUUCAAAAUCAAGUGAAACAAGCAUGUCCUAUUAAAAUGGGGUGAUAAUAUGGAAGCAAGUUUUUAAACUUUGAAGAAGCUGAAGGAAUUUUUAAGCCAAAUUCUGUUGGGAGACAAGUCAAUCCUUGACAAGUUUGAAACUUUGUCUGCAUCUUGUCCUGAAGCUGAAUGAACCAGCUGGAGGAGCAAGGAACAGCCUCUGAGUUUUUUCUCUUCACACCUUCCAAUCAAAUCAUAUUUUCUUUUAGUUUUUAGAUGUGAUUGUAACUUGUACAGGAAUUGAUAUUGCCUAUUAAAACUGAUUUAACAAAAUGA
This is a long non-coding RNA of Pocillopora damicornis (cauliflower coral), 1127 nucleotides long. Lineage: Eukaryota; Metazoa; Cnidaria; Anthozoa; Scleractinia; Pocilloporidae. The record is from RefSeq and is a predicted model, not a curated record.